GACGAACGCUGGCGGCGUGCUUAACACAUGCCAGUCGAACGGAAAGGCCCUGCUUUUGUGGGGUGCUCGAGUGGCGAACGGGUGAGUAACACGUGAGUAACCUGCCCUUGACUUUGGGAUAACUUCAGGAAACUGGGGCUAAUACCGGAUAGGAGCUCCUGCUGCAUGGUGGGGGUUGGAAAGUUUCGGCGGUUGGGGAUGGACUCGCGGCUUAUCAGCUUGUUGGUGGGGUAGUGGCUUACCAAGGCUUUGACGGGUAGCCGGCCUGAGAGGGUGACCGGCCACAUAGGGACUGAGUUACGGCCCAGACACCAACGGGAGGCAGCAGUGGGGAAUAUUGCACAAUGGCGGAAGCCUGAUGCAGCAACGCCGCGUGCGGGAUGACGGCCUUCGGGUUGUAAACCGCUUUCGCCUGUGACGAAGCGUGAGUGACGGUAAUGGGUAAAGAAGCACCGGCUAACUACGUG
RNAcentral lists this ribosomal RNA (467 nucleotides) under uncultured bacterium. RNAcentral describes it as "partial 16S ribosomal RNA". It matches the Rfam family "Bacterial small subunit ribosomal RNA", at positions 28 to 507 of the family's 1533-position model. The record is from RNAcentral.